GUCGCACCUACCGAUUGAAUGGUCCGGUGAGGCCUCGGGAUUGUCACCCCCGCCAUUAAUUUGGUGGAGGCCGCGAGAACUUGUCCAAACCUUAUCAUUUAGAGGAAGGUG
Molecule: ribosomal RNA, 111 nt
Filed under: uncultured eukaryote
Lineage: Eukaryota
Description: partial small subunit ribosomal RNA
Rfam family: Eukaryotic small subunit ribosomal RNA
Source: RNAcentral